UACGUAGGGUCCAAGCGUUAUCCGGAAUUACUGGGCGUAAAGAGUUGCGUAGGUGGCAUAGUAAGCGAAUAGUGAAAUGAUACGGCUCAACCGUAUGUCCAUUAUUUGAACUACUAAGCUAGAGUAUGGGAGAGGUAGAUGGAAUUUCUAGUGUAGGAGUGAAAUCCGUAGACAUUAGAAGGAACACCGAUGGCGUAGGCAGUCUACUAGCCCAUUACUGACACUAAGGCACGAAAGCGUGGGGAGCGAACGGG
This 254-nucleotide ribosomal RNA is filed under the name uncultured bacterium. RNAcentral's name for it is "partial 16S ribosomal RNA". It matches the Rfam family "Bacterial small subunit ribosomal RNA", at positions 524 to 776 of the family's 1533-position model. The record is from RNAcentral.